This 12887-nucleotide long non-coding RNA is filed under the name Triticum aestivum (bread wheat). RNAcentral's name for it is "long non-coding RNA (TAES_LNC004646)". Lineage: Eukaryota; Viridiplantae; Streptophyta; Magnoliopsida; Poales; Poaceae. The record is from RNAcentral.
GAUCGGGAGCUGCAAUGAGGCUGGGGCUCGGGCGCGUUGUACGGGAGGAUGCACUCCGCCUCUUCCUCAUGGUGCGGCGGACGGCGGCUCUCCCUCUUCUCUGUCGUCGGCGGCCAGCUCAUCCCACUGCCUCGUGCUCGCCGCUGACCAUGGAUCCGCCAUGGACGGAGGGUGUCAAGAGGGGAAGAGGGGAAGGAUGUCUUCGCCUUCGCAAGCAGGGCUGGCGGACGAGCACACACGCAUGUCCUCUUCCUGAUGGAAGGCAACUCGAGCAUGGGAGUAGUGGACAAGGCUGGGCACCAUGGGUUGGCCGAGGUGCUUCAUGGUGAGGAAGAGGUGCGCCAUCUUCCAAUCGGUCCACAGUUUGAAGCAGCCAGGCAGGGAGGACCAAGAAAACAUAGGUACUCUUCUACCCCUUUGUACGUCUUGUCUGAUGCAUGUUUGUGUGUGUGUGUGUGUGUGUGUGAGGGAGGGAGGGAGGGAGGGAGGGAGGGAGGGAGAGAGAGAGAGAGAGCUGAUCACCGAUGGAAUGGAAGGUAACUUUUAUUUCAACUUUGAUUUUACUAGGCAUCCAGAUUCUUAUUUUGUUCUUCUGAGAUUUCUUGUUGGGUGUAUGAACAUUCAUGCACACACUGUAAAUUAUUGUGCUUGUUCCAAAUUAGAAAUACUGAGAAGAAAUAAAAUUAUUAGUUAGCAAAUAUACAUAGCUCAUUCACAUUUUAGUUCCCUAAUAUGUGGGUUUUCUACACAUGAUGUGUGCAGAUCUAUGAAAGAAGAGAUGAAGAACAAUUUUAGCUGAAGAGUUGAAGAAGACCCAGGUGAAUUUUAUCCCUCUUACGAAUCCAAUCAAGUUUGCGCUUGCAUUUUGGUGAUAUGGUUUGUGUUGGACCAUGUUCUCUAGCUAUCAAUGGACUUUCCAAAGUAGUUUUGCUGAUUUGUCGUUAUGGAUUUCAUGUUAUGCAGACUAUUUUGCUUAGAGAUGGGCAUGCGCGACUCCUUAUUUGUUUGCAGCGUCGUAUAGGAUAAUAUGAGAUUGAUAUUUUGCUACUUGGGAACACAUUUUGCGAUAACAUCAGCUCUGUUCUAACUAGCCAUUGUGAUAUCCUCUUUUUUUGGGAGGGGGGGUGCAAAUUCCUUGCCUUUCUAUUCUGCUAUUUGCAAUCAAUGUACAAUGCUCUAUAUUUUUACUUGAUGAUGUACAGUUGUUGGUACUUUUUGUUGAGAACAGGCUCUUGUGAGUACAAGUAAAAAAUUUAUUAAAUGUGAUCGUUGUAUGGACUGUGCACCUGUUCCAUGUGACAAGUAAAAUUUGUUGUGUUUCCCCGUCGGUUAAGCUUUUCACUCGAUUACUGUAUGGGUGAUUCAAUCUUAUUUGCUUGUUAUAUAGUUUGGGUAUUCAUGGUUCGUAGGAGGGGGUUUAUAAGGGAAUCAAGAGCUUUUUUUAACAGCAUGUACAAAAGGUUCAGCAAAGUGGGACUCAAGUCUGCAACCACAAUAGAAGUAAGGCCAUGGAGCAAGAGUUCUGUUGGGCAUCCUUUGCAUUUAUCUUGCCAGGUUCCAUGCUUCAUAGCAUGUGUGUAAGCAUAUCAAUACACACAUACACUGCGGUUCGUAACGCCAUUUAAUAGGGGAUGCAUUAGGGUACUUUAUUUCCAUUAUAAACUGAUAAUAAUUAUGAAUUUAGUAAGGUAACAAUAAUAUGGGUUAUAGCAGAAUAUUAGAUGUGGUAUGUGUUGGGGAACGUUGCAGAAAAUUAAAUUUUUUCCUACGGUUUCACCAAGAUCCAUCAACGAGUCAAGGGAGUGAGUUUGCAUCUACAUACCACUUGUAGAUCGCGUGCGGAAGCGUUCAAUGGAACGGGGUUGAUGGAGUCGUACUCGCCGUGAUUCAGAUCACCGAUGACCUAGUGUCGAACGGACAGCACCUCCGCGUUCAACACACGUACGGAGCGGAUGACGUCUCCUCCUUAUUGAUCCAGCAAGGGGGAAGGAGAGGUUGAUGAAGAUCCAGCAGCACGACGGCGUGGUGGUGGAUGCAGCAGAACUCCGGCAAGGCUUCGCUAAGCAACUACGGGAGGAGGAGGAGGUGUUGCACGGAGGAGGGAGGCGCCAGGGCUUAUGGGUGCGGCUGCCUCUCCCUCCCCUCCCUUUAUAUGGGGGUAAGGGAGAGGGGGGGGGGGGCGCAGCCUUGCCCCUUCCUCCAAGGAAGGGGUGCGGCCAAGAGGGGGGGAGGAGUCCAUCCUCCCCAAGGCACCUCGGAGGUGCCUUCCCCUCUUUGGACUCUCCCCUCUCCAAGUCUUCUAGGCGCAUGGGCCUCUUGGGGCUGGUGCCCUUGGCCCAUAUGGGCCAAGGCGCACCCCCUACAGCCCAUGUGCCCCCCCGGAGCAGGUGGACCCCCCGGUGGACCCCCAGACCCCUUUCGGCACUCCCGAUACAAUACCGAUAAAGUGUGAAACUUUUCCGGUGACCAAAAUAAGACUUCCUAUAUAUAAAUCUUUACCUCCGGACCAUUCCGGAACUCCUCGUGACGUCCGGGAUCUCAUCCGGGACUCCAAACAACAUUCGGUUUGCUGCAUACUCAUAUUCAUACAACCCUAGCGUCACCGAACCUUAAGUGUGUAGACCCUACGGGUUCGGGAGACACGUAGUCAUGACCGAGACGGCUCUCGGGCAAUAACCAACAACAGGAUCUGGAUACCCAUGUUGGCUCCCACAUGCUCCUCGAUGAUGUCAUCGGAUGAACCACGAUGUCGAGGAUUCGAUCAAACCCCGUAUACAAUUCCCUUUGUCAAUCGGUACGUUACAAGCCCGAGACUCGAUCGUCGGUAUCCCAAUACCUCGUUCAGUCUCGUUACCGGCAAGUCACUUUACUCGUACCGUAAUGCAUGAUCCCGUGACUAACGACUUAGCCACUUUGAGCUCAUUAUGAUGAUGCAUUACCGAGUGGGCCCAGAGAUACCUCUCCGUCAUACGGAGUGACAAAUCCCAGUCUCGAUCCGUGUCAACCCAACAGACACUUUCGGAGAUACCUGUAGUGCACCUUUAUAAUCACCCAGUUACGUUGUGACGUUUGGUACACCCAAAGCACUCUUACGGUAUCCGGGAGUUACACGAUCUCAUGGUCGAAGGAAGAGAUAGUUGACAUUGAAAAAGCUCUAGCAAAACGAACUACACGAUCUUGUGCUAUGCUUAAGAUUGGGUCUUGUCCAUCACAUCAUUCUCCUAAUGAUGUGAUCCCAUUGUCAAUGACAUCUAAUGUCCAUAGUCAGGAAACCAUGACUAUCUGUUGACCAACGAGCUAGUCAACUAGAGGCUCACUAGGGACAUGUUAUGGUCUAUGUAUUCACACGUGUAUUACGAUUUCCGGAUAAUACAAUUAUAGCAUGAAUAAAAGACAAUUAUCAUGAACAAGGAAAUAUAAUAAUAAUGCUUUUAUUAUUGCCUCUAGGGCAUAUUUCCAACAGUCUCCCACUUGCACUAGAGUCAAUAAUCUAGUUACAUUGUGAUGAAUCGAACACCCAUAGAGUUCUGGUGCUGAUCAUGUUUUGCUCGCAAGAGAGGUUUAGUCAACGAAUCUGCGACAUUCAGAUCCGUAUGUACUUUGCAAAUUUCUAUGUCUCCAUCUUGAACAUUUUCACGGAUGGAGUUGAAACGACAAUUGAUGUGCCUGGUCUUCUUGUGAAACCUGGGCUCCUUGGCAAGGGCAAUAGCUCCAGUGUUGUCACAGAAGAGUUUGAUUGGCCCCGACGCAUUGGGUAUGACUCCUAGGUCGGUGAUGAACUCCUUCACCCAAAUCGCUUCAUGCGCUGCCUCCGAGGCUGCCAUGUACUCCGCUUCACACGUAGAUCCCGCCACGACGCUCUGCUUGCAGCUGCACCAGCUUACUGCUCCACCAUUCAACAUAUACACGUAUCCGGUUUGUGACUUAGAGUCAUCCGGAUCUGAGUCGAAGCUAGCGUCGACGUAACCCUUUAUGACGAGCUCUUCGUCUCCUCCAUAAACGAGAAACAUGUCCUUUGUCCUUUUCAGGUACUUCAGGAUAUUCUUGACCGCUGUCCAGUGUUCCUUGCCGGGAUUACUUUGGUAUCUAGCUACCAAACUUACGGCAAGGUUUACAUCAGGUCUGGUACACAGCAUGGCAUACAUAAUAGAUCCUAUGGCUGAAGCAUAGGGGAUGACACUCAUCUCUUCUUUAUCUUUUGCCAUGGUCGGUGACUGAGCCGAGCUCAAUCUCACACCUUGUAACAUGGGCAAGAACCCUUUCUUGGACUGAUCCAUUUUGAACCUUUUCAAAAUCUUAUCAAGGUAUGUGCUUUGUGAAAGACCUAUGAGGCGUCUCGAUCUAUCUCUAUAGAUCUUGAUGCCUAAUAUAUAAGCAGCUUCUCCAAGGUCCUUCAUUGAAAAACAUUUGUUCAAGUAGGCCUUAAUGCUGUCCAGAAAUUCUAUAUUAUUUCCCAUCAAUAGUAUGUCAUCUACAUAUAAUAUGAGAAAUGCUACAGAGCUCCCACUCACUUUCUUGUAAACGCAGGCUUCUCCAUAAGUCUGCAUAAACCCAAACGCUUUCAUCAUCUCAUCAAAGCGAAUAUUCCAACUCCGAGAUGCUUGCACCAGCCCAUAAAUGGAUCGCUGGAGCUUGCAUACUUUGUUAGCGUUCUUAGGAUCGACAAAACCUUCCGGCUGCAUCAUAUACAGUUCUUCCUUAAGAUGCCCGUUAAGGAAUGCUGUUUUGACGUCCAUCUGCCAUAUCUCAUAAUCAUAGUAUGCGGCAAUUGCUAACAUGAUUCGGACGGACUUUAGCUUCGCUACGGGAGAGAAUGUCUUGUCGUAGUCAAUCCCUUCAACUUGUCGAUAACCCUUAGCGACAAGUCGAGCUUUAUAGAUGGUAACAUUUCCAUCCGCGUCCGUCUUCUUCUUAAAGAUCCAUUUGUUUUCUAUCGCUCGCCGAUCAUCGGGCAAGUCUGUCAAAGUCCAUACUUUGUUUUCAUACAUGGAUUCUAUCUCGGACUUCAUGGCUUCAAGCCAUUUGUUGGAAUCUGGUCCCGUCAUUGCUUCUUCAUAGUUCGAAGGUUCACUGUUGUCUAACAACAUGAUUUCCAGGACGGGGUUGCCGUACCACUCCGGUGCGGAACGUGUCCUGGUGGACCUACGAAGUUCAGUAGCAACUUGAUCCGAAGUACCUUGAUCAUCAUCAUUGGUUUCCUCUUCAGUUGGUGUGGGCAUCACAGGAACAUUUUCCUGAGCUGCACCACUAUCCUGUUCGAGAGGUAGCACUUCAUCGAGUUCUACUUUCCUUCCACUUACUUCUUUCGAGAGAAACUCUUUUUCCAGAAAGCAUCCGUUCUUGGCAACAAAGAUCUUGCCCUCGGAUCUUAAGUAGAAGGUAUACCCGACAGUUUCCUUAGGGUAUCCUAUGAAGACGCAUUUUUCCGACUUGGGUUCGAGCUUUUCAGGUUGAAGUUUCUUGACAUAAGCAUUGCAUCCCCAAACUUUUAGAAAUGACAGCUUAGGUUUCUUCCCAAACCAUAAUUCAUACGGUGUCGUCUCAACGGAUUUAGACGGUACCCUAUUUAAAGUGAAUGUAGCUGUCUCUAGAGCGUAUCCCCAAAAUGAUAGCGGUAAAUCGGUAAGAGACAUCAUAGACCGCACCAUAUCCAAUAGAGUGCGAUUACGACGUUCGGACACACCGUUUCGCUGAGGUGUUCCAGGCGGCGUGAGUUGUGAAACGAUUCCACAUUUCCUUAAGUGUGUGCCAAAUUCAUGACUUAAAUAUUCUCCUCCACGAUCUGAUCGUAGGAACUUUAUUUUUCCAUUACGUUGAUUCUCUACUUCAUUCUGAAACUCCUUGAACUUUUCAAAGGUCUCAGACUUGUGUUUCAUUAAGUAGACAUACCCACAUCUACUCAAGUCAUCAGUGAGAGUGAGAACAUAACGAUAUCCUCCGCGAGCCUCAACGCUCAUUGGACCGCACACAUCGGUAUGUAUGAUUUCCAACAAGUUGGUUGCUCACUCCAUUGUUCCGGAGAACGGAGUCUUGGUCAUUUUGCCCAUGAGGCAUGGUUUGCAUGUGUCAAACGAUUCAUAAUCAAGAGACUCCAAAAGUCCAUCAGCAUGGAGCUUCUUCAUGCGGUUGACACCAAUGUGACCAAGGCGGCAGUGCCACAAGUAUGUGGGACUAUCGUUAUCAACUUUACAUCUUGUGGCAUCCACACUAUGAACAUGUGUAAUAUUACGCUCGAGAUUCAUUAAGAACAAGCCAUUGACCAUCGGAGCAUGGCCAUAAAACAUAUCUCUCAUAUAAAUCGAACAACCAUUAUUCUCAGACUUAAAUGAGUAGCCAUCUCGUAUUAAACGAGAUCCAGAUACAAUGUUCAUGCUCAAACUUGGCACUAAAUAACAAUUAUUAAGGUUCAUAACUAAUCCCGUAGGUAAAUGUAGAGGCAGCGUGCCGACGGCGAUCACAUCGACUCUGGAACCAUUCCCGAUGCGCAUCGUCACCUCGUCCUUCGCCAGUCUCCGCUUAUUCCGCAGCUCCUGAUGUGAGUUACAAAUAUGAGCAACGACACCGAUAUCAAAUACCCAGGAGUUACUACGAGUACUGGUAAGGUACACAUCAAUUACAUGUAUAUCAAAUAUACCUUUGUUGUUGCCGACCUUCUUAUCUGCUAAGUAUUUGGGGCAGUUCCGCUUCCAGUGACCCUUCCCCUUGCAAUAAAAGCACUCAGUCUCAGGCUUGGGUCCAUUCUUUGACUUCUUCCCGGCAACUGGCUUACCGGGCGCGGCAACAUCCUUGCCGUCCUUCUUGAAGUUCUUCUUGCCCUUGCCCUUCUUGAACUUAGUGGUCUUAUUGACCAUCAACACUUGAUGUUCUUUCUUGAUUUCAGCCUCUGCUGACUUCAGCAUAGAGAACAAUUCAGGAAUGGUCUUUUCCAUCCCCUGCAUGUUGUAGUUCAUCACAAAGCUCUUGUAGCUUGGUGGGAGCGACUGGAGGAUUCUGUCAAUGAUCGCCUCAUCUGGGAGGUUAAUGUUCAGUUGGGUCAUACGUUUGUGCAACCCAGACAUCUUUAGGAUGUGCUCACUGACAGAACUGUUUUCCUCCAUCUUACAACUAUAGAACUUGUCGGAGAUGUCAUAUCUCUCGACCCGGGCGUGAGCUUGAAAAACCAGUUUCAGCUCCUCGAACAUCUCAUAUGCUCCGUGAUGCUCAAAACGCUUUUGGAGCCCCGGUUCUAAGCUGUAAAGCAUGCCGCACUGAACGAGGGAGUAAUCAUCAGCACGUGCCUGCCAAACGUUCAAAUCGUCUUGCAGUGCUGGGAGAACAGGUGGGUCACCUAACGGUCCUUCUAGGACAUAUUGUUUCCUGGCAGCUAUGAGGAUGAUCCUCAGGUUCCGGACCCAGUCCGUAUAGUUUCUGCCAUCAUCUUUCAGCUUGGUUUUCUCUAGGAACGUGUUGAAGUUCAUGUUGACAUGAGCGUUGGCCAUUUGAUCUACAAGACAUAUUUGCAAAGGUUUUAGACUAAGUUCAUGAUAAUUAAGUUCUAAUCAAAUUAUGAACUCCCACUCAGAUUAGACAUCCCUCUAGUCAUCUCAGUGUUACACGAUCCGAGUCGACUAGCCCGUGUCCGAUCAUCACGUGAGACGGACUAGUCAUCGUCGGUGAACAUCUUCAUGUUGAUCGUAUCUUCCAUACGACUCGUGUUCGACCUUUCGGUCUCCGUGUUCCGAGGCCAUGUCUGCACAUGCUAGGCUCGUCAAGUUAACCCUAAGUGUUUUUGCUGUGUAAAACUGUCUUACACUCGUUGUAUGUGAACGUAAGGAUCCAUCACACCCGAUCAUCACGUGGUGCUUAGAAGUGACGAACUUUAGCAACGGUGCACAGUUAGGGGAGAACACUUCUUGAAAUUUUGUAAGGGAUCAUCUUAUUUACUACCGUCGUCCUAUGUAAACAAGAUGCAUAAACAUAAUAAACAUCACAUGCAAUUAUAUAGUUGUGACAUGAUAUGGCCAAUAUCAUAUAGCUCCAUUGAUCUCCAUCUUCGGGGCUCCAUGAUCUUGUCACUGGCUUGACACCAUGAUCUCCAUCAUCAUGAUCUCCAUCAUCGUGUCUUCAUGAAGUUGUCACGCCAACGACUACUUCUACUUCUAUGGCUAACGUGUUUAGCAACAAAGUAAAGUAAGUUACAUGGCGUUCUUCAAUGACACGCAGGUCAUACAAAAAAUAAAGACAACUCCUAUGGCUAAUGCCGGUUGUCAUACUCAUCAACAUGCAAGUUGUGAAUCCUAUUACAAGAACAUGAUCUCAUACAUCACAAUUCAUCAUUCAUCACAACUUCUGGCCAUAUCACAUCACAUGAUCAAUCGCUGCAAAAACAAGUUAGACGUCCUCUAAUUGUUGUUGCAUCUUUUACGUGGCUGCAAUUGGGUUCUAGCAAGAACGUUUUCUUACCUACGAAUAAUCACAACGUGAUUUUGUCAACUUCUAUUUACCCUUCAUAAGGGCCCUUUUCAUCGAAUCCGCUCCAACUAAAGUGGGAGAGACAGACACCCGCCAGCCACCUUAUGCAACUAGUGCAUGUCAGUCGGUGGAACCGGUCUCACGUAAGCAUACGUGUAAGGUUGGUUCGGGCCGCUUCAUCCCACAAUACCGUUGAAGCAAGAAAAGACUAGUAGAGGCAAGUAAGUUGACAAGAUCCACGCCCACAACAAAUUGUGUUCUACUCGUGCAAAGAGAACUACGCAUAGACCUAGCUCAUGAUGCCACUGUUGGGGAACGUUGCAGAAAAUUAAAUUUUUUCCUACGGUUUCACCAAGAUCCAUCUAGAGUUCAUCUAGCAACGAGUCAAGGGAGUGAGUUUGCAUCUACGUACCACUUGUAGAUCGCGUGCGGAAGCGUUCAAUGGAACGGGGUUGAUGGAGUCGUACUCGCCGUGAUUCAGAUCACCGAUGACCUAGUGUCGAACGGACAACACCUCCGCGUUCAACACACGUACGGAGCGGAUGACGUCUCCUCCUUCUUGAUCCAGCAAGGGGGAAGGAGAGGCUGAUGAAGAUCCAGCAGCACGACGGCGUGGUGGUGGAUGCAGCAGAACUCCGACAGGGCUUCGCUAAGCAACUACGGGAGGAGGAGGAGGUGUUGCAGGGAGGAGGGAGGCGCCAGGGCUUAUGGGUGCGGCUGCCCCUCCCUCCCCUCCCUUUAUAUAGGGGUAAGGGAGAGGGGGGAGGGGCGCAGCCUUGCCCCUUCCUCCAAGGAAGGGGUGCGGCCAAGAGGGGGGGAGGAGUCCAUCCUCCCCAAGGCACCUCGGAGGUGCCUUCCCCUCUUUGGACUCUCCCCUCUCCAAGUCUUCUAGGCGCAUGGGCCUCUUGGGGCUGGUGCCCUUGGCCCAUAUGGGCCAAGGCGCACCCCCUACAGUCCAUGUGGCCCCCCGGGGCAGGUGGACCCCCCCGGUGGACCCCCAGACCCCUUUCGGCACUCCCGGUACAAUACCGAUAAAGUGCGAAACUUUUCCGGUGACCAAAAUAAGACUUCCUAUAUAUAUAUCUUUACCUCCGGAGACCAUUCCGGAACUCCUCGUGACAUCCGGGAUCUCAUCCGGGACUCCGAACAACAUUCGGUUUGCUGCAUACUCAUAUUCAUACAACCCUAGCGUCACCGAACCUUAAGUGUGUAGACCCUACGGGUUCGGGAGACACGUAGUCAUGACCGAGACGGCUCUCGGGCAAUAACCAUUAGCGGGAUCUGGAUACCCAUGUUGCUCCCACAUGCUCCUCGAUGAUGUCAUCGGAUGAACCACGAUGUCGAGGAUUCGAUCAAACCCCGUAUACAAUUCCCUUUGUCAAUCGGUACGUUACAUGCCCGAGACUCGAUCGUCGGUAUCCCAAUACCUCGUUCAGUCUCGUUACCGGCAAGUCACUUUACUCGUACCGUAAUGCAUGAUCCCGUGACUAACCACUUAGCCACUUUGAGCUCAUUAUGAUGAUGCAUUACCGAGUGGGCCCAGAGAUACCUCUCCGUCAUACGGAGUGACAAAUCCCAGUCUCGAUCCGUGUCAACCCAACAGACACUUUCGGAGAUACCUGUAGUGCACCUUUAUAAUCACCCAGUUACGUUGUGACGUUUGGUACACCCAAAGCACUCUUACGGUAUCCGGGAGUUACACGAUCUCAUGGUCUAAGGAAGAGAUACUUGACACUGAAAAAGCUCUAGCAAAACGAACUACACGAUCUUGUGCUAUGCUUAAGAUUGGGUCUUGUCCAUCACAUCAUUCUCCUAAUGAUGUGAUCCCGUUGUCAAUGACAUCUAAUGUCCAUAGUCAGGAAACCAUGACUAUCUGUUGACCAACGAGCUAGUCAACUAGAGGCUCACUAGGGACAUGUUAUGGUCUAUGUAUUCACACGUGUAUUACGAUUUCCGGAUAAUACAAUUAUAGCAUGAAUAAAAGACAAUUAUCAUGAACAAGGAAAUAUAAUAAUAAUGCUUUUAUUAUUGCCUCUAGGGCAUAUUUCCAACAGUAUGCUUGUAUGAGUAGAAUGCAGAGUUUAUAAAUGAACUAAAAUCUGAGAACAGGAAGUGGUAGGUUUAAUUUCAGUUAGAAAAUUAGGUGUACUGCAGUAUCAUAUAUUCAGGUAAUCCCUUGCAUUUUUUUGCCAUGUUCAGGCUUUAUACAUCGUUUGUAUAUGCAUAAAGUACGCCACAUAAACUGGAGUUUGUAGUGUCAGGAGUAAGAGGGGUGCAACUAAGUAGUAGCAUGUUAGAGGAUAAGAACAACUGUUUAAUUUAACUCCAAAGAGGUCAGAUGAAAUGAAUUUUUGAUAUAUCUGAACUCUAGAGUAUAAGAUGCAUCUUUCUACUCUUCCUGAGAUCACGGUUAUCAUAACUGGAAGUUUGUUUGUGGGAAGUUUUAUCUCUUCCCUACAGUCAAAGCUCAUGUGCAAUUUGGAAAAAAAAUGCAAAUAUGCUAUCGCUGCAUUUGACAAUUCCUUUUAGGUGAAAAAACCUGGCCUUGUUUUGUUCCUUUUUGUUCUCUGUUUAUUACCGUUUAUUGCUCAGUUUGAUUGUUCCCAAAGUAGUCUUUAACAAUUAAUCAUUUGCAGGUCUCUAACCAAUAGCGGCUUACGUUUCCUGGUCAUUUUUCUUUUGGAAAUGGAAGUUGUUGCUUCCUAGGUGAGCUGAGGUGAUAACUCCCUUCCGGCGCUGGGCCUACGUGUUCAAUGCUGCCCUCAGCAUCCCCUUCUUCCAUUGGCUCAUCGGCCCGUCAGAGUUCAGAGAUCUAAUACUCCGCACUGCCUCCCGUCCAUUUUCAGAUAUAUAUAUUUAUAUAAGGUUUAUCAUCACCCCAUGGAUCAUGUGUUGUUGAUUGACCAGGUUAUUGAGGUGGAGGUCAACAGGGUGAGGCAGAGAAGUGGAGUGCUCAUAAAGAAACGAAGGUAUGUAUGAAUAUGAUGGAUGCUUCCAUUGCCAACUAAUGAAAUGCAUGUCUCAUGCUCGCGCAGCUGCUGCUUGGACUCGCCGCUGCCGCCGCCUCCAGUCGCUUCCGCCUAGGCAUCCCGUCACUAGCAAGGUAAUUUUGUUCCGGUCCCAGCUGUCCUCCUAUCCUCCGUGCUUGAUUGCUACAGGUUCUUGUUGUGUGUGUGUGCUUGCUGACUUAGUGUUGUGGGUGUCCGGGCACCCAUUGUAUUUUUUUACUGGCUUGCCGUUGCGUGCAUGAUUAUUGUGGCUGGCUUGGUGGUAGCAUCAUACAUACUUGGUCGUAGUGCUCGCUUGCUAGCUACAAGUUCUUGUUGUGUGUUUGGUUACUACUGGCUUAGUUAUGUGUAUGUGUCUGGGCACCUGUUAUGUUUUUUUGCUGGCUUGCUGCUCGCGCAUGAUUGUUGUGACUGGGCUCUGGUUGUUCGGUGUUGGGCUGUUGAUGGCAUGCGACCUGCUUCAAGAAAAGGAAAGAAAGCAAGCAUUUGUUUAUAGAACAAAUAUAUUGAAAAAAAUCCAUGGAAAGCGUGCAUAUUUAGCAAGGAAAAGGAGUCUAGAGAGCCUUAGAUUCUUGUUAUGUGUUAAUUUGCAAAAUUUCUGCAGCUAUAUAUUUGCUCAAUCCAAAAGACAUAUUGUACUCAACCUUCAGUAUAAUGCAUUUCUAAUUGUUCAUAACUCCUAAAAUUUUUGUUAUGAUUUUGCAAGAUUUCGAAAUUAUUGUAUUUCAAAAUUGUUAUACUGAUUCCUUGAUGCUUCUCUCUUUGCUUUUUUUCUUUCCUACAAGAAGAUGCCGAGUCAUGUAAUAUGUUCAAAGAGCCACGUUUUUGAACAUACACGAUGUGUACAUCUCUUUGUGGACAACAAGCCAUGUUUCUUUAAUUAUUAAAGGGCAUUAAAUUUGUUACCUUAUAUCUUUGUCAACAACAAACCAACUAAACCAUGAUUCUCUUUUCAAUGUGAACAUGGAUUCAGCGGGUCUCUGCCAUUUGGCGCAACGGGUCCAUGAGGAAAAGGCGGUCUAUUUCUAGCUUAUUUGAAAAGCGCCAACAGUGUGUGCCACAUGUAAACAGUCCAUGUUGAAAGAAUAGAAGCAGAAGUGUGGAGAUAAUGUAAUUGGUCAGUCAGGAAAUUCAGUCUCAAUGAGCUCAACUAAUGACAUGUGUGGGUUGAGCGUGAGGUCAUUUCCAAAGUAACGGAAGUAUUUUACUUUCCUUUUCAUGUCAGUGGUCGAUGGUACUUACAUGUUGUAUCAGGUUAUCAAAGGACUGCAAUCAUAUACAUUUUAUAAACAAAUAAAACACUUUUAUGAAGCAUGUAGUAGACAAAUAGUGCUACUGAUAAAUGGAUUUUUAUCUCAGAGCACAAAUGGUGUUUAGUGGGUCUAUGUCAUUUUGCGCAAUGGGAGAUUACUCAAAAAUACACAUAUG